AGGACGAACGCUGGCGGCGUGCCUAAUACAUGCAAGUCGAACAAGACUUUCCUCGGUGGUAACACCUUUGAUUGUCUAGUGGCGAACGGGUGAGUAACACGUGAGAAACCUGCCCUGAAGACGGGGAUAACAGGAGGAAACUUCUGCUAAUACCCGAUACCCCCACCGGAUCGCAUGGUCUGGUGAGGAAAUGGAUUCCGCUUCAGGAGGGCCUCGCGGCCUAUCAGCUUGUUGGUGAGGUAACGGCUUACCAAGGCUUGGACGGGUAGCUGGUCUGAGAGGACGAUCAGCCACA
RNAcentral lists this ribosomal RNA (295 nucleotides) under uncultured soil bacterium. RNAcentral's name for it is "partial 16S ribosomal RNA". It matches the Rfam family "Bacterial small subunit ribosomal RNA", at positions 26 to 312 of the family's 1533-position model. The record is from RNAcentral.